Molecule: ribosomal RNA, 465 nt
Filed under: uncultured bacterium
Lineage: Bacteria
Description: partial 16S ribosomal RNA
Rfam family: Bacterial small subunit ribosomal RNA
Source: RNAcentral
GACGAACGCUGGCGGCGUGCUUAACACAUGCAAGUCGUACGGUAAGGCCCUUUCGGGGGUACACGAGUGGCGAACGGGUGCGUAACACGUGAGUAACCUGCCCACAACUUUUGGAUAACGCUAGGAAACUGGUGCUAAUUCUGGAUAUGUGCUCCUGCUGCUUGGUGGGGGUUGGAAAGCUCCGGCGGUUGUGGAUGGACUCGCGGCCUAUCAGCUUGUUGGUGGGGUAGUGGCCUACCAAGGCGGCGACGGGUAGCAGGCCUGAGAGGGUGACCGGACACAUUGGGACUGAGAGACGGCCCAGAGUCCGAAGGGAGGCAGAGGUGGGGAAUAUUGCACAAUGGGCGAAAGCCUGAUGCAGCAAGGCCGCGUGCGGGAUGACGGCCUUCGGGGUGUAAGCCGCUUUCAGCAGGGACGAAGCGUUUUGUGAAGGUACCUGAAGAAGAAGCACCGGCUAAAUACGUG